RNAcentral lists this ribosomal RNA (103 nucleotides) under Tricholoma populinum. RNAcentral's name for it is "partial small subunit ribosomal RNA". Lineage: Eukaryota; Fungi; Basidiomycota; Agaricomycetes; Agaricales; Tricholomataceae. The record is from RNAcentral.
UUGCAUAACCAAUUUUUGUUAUUAGAAAAAUUUUUUUCUAAUAUCUUUUAAGUAAGAAAAACAUAAUUGAGUAAUUUUUAUAGUUUUUAAAAGUUCGGUUACA